AAUAUUGUACAAUGGGGGCAACCCUGAUCCAGCCAGCCCGCGUGUGUGAAGAAGGUCAUAGGUUUGUAAAGCACUUUAAGUUGAGAGACAGGGCUUUAGGCUUAUACCCUGAAGUAUUACCGAUACCAACAGAACAAGCACCUGCUAACUCUGUGCCAGCCGCCGCGGUAAUAAAGAGGGUGCAAUCGGUAAUCGGAAUUACUGGGCGUAAAGCGCGCGUAGGUGGUUCAGUAAGAUGGGUGUGAAAUCCCCGGGCUUAACCUGGGAACUGCUUUCAUAACUGCUGAGCUAGAGUACGGUAGAGGGUAGUGGAAUUUCCUGUGUAGCGGUGAAAUGCGUAGAUAUAGGAAGGAACACCAGUGGCGAAGGCGACUACCUGGGAUAAUACUGACGCUCAGACACGAAAGCGUGGGGAGCAAACAG
Molecule: ribosomal RNA, 423 nt
Filed under: uncultured bacterium
Lineage: Bacteria
Description: partial 16S ribosomal RNA
Rfam family: Bacterial small subunit ribosomal RNA
Source: RNAcentral